Molecule: ribosomal RNA, 397 nt
Filed under: uncultured bacterium
Lineage: Bacteria
Description: partial 16S ribosomal RNA
Rfam family: Bacterial small subunit ribosomal RNA
Source: RNAcentral
AUACGUAGGUGGCAAGCGUUGUCCGGAAUUAUUGGGCGUAAAGCGCGCGCAGGUGGUUCCUUAAGUCUGAUGUGAAAGCCCCCGGCUCAACCGGGGAGGGUCAUUGGAAACUGGGGAACUUGAGUGCAGAAGAGGAUAGUGGAAUUCCAAGUGUAGCGGUGAAAUGCGUAGAGAUUUGGAGGAACACCAGUGGCGAAGGCGACUGUCUGGUCUGUAACUGACCCUGAGGCGCGAAAGCGUGAGGAGCAAACAGGAUUAGAUACCCUGGUAGUCCACGCCGUAAACGAUGAGUGCUAAGUGUUGGGGGGUUUCCGCCCCUCAGUGCUGCAGCUAACGCAUUAAGCACUCCGCCUGGGGAGUACGGUCGCAAGGCUGAAACUCAAAUGAAUGGACGGGG